Molecule: ribosomal RNA, 253 nt
Filed under: uncultured bacterium
Lineage: Bacteria
Description: partial 16S ribosomal RNA
Rfam family: Bacterial small subunit ribosomal RNA
Source: RNAcentral
GACAGAGGGUGCGAACGUUGUUCGGAAUUACUGGGCGUAAAGCGCAUGUAGGCGGCAGCGCAAGUCGGGCGUGAAAUCCCACGGCUCAACCGUGGAAGUGCACUCGAAACUGCGCAGCUAGAGUCCUGGAGAGGAAGGUGGAAUGCUUGGUGUAGAGGUGAAAUUCGUAGAUAUUCGCAAGAACACCAGUGGCGAAGGCGGCUCACUGGCCCGGUACUGACGCUGAGGUGCGAAAGCGUGGGGAGCAAACAGG